RNAcentral lists this long non-coding RNA (860 nucleotides) under Equus caballus (horse). RNAcentral's name for it is "lncRNA (ENSECAG00000046180.1)". The record is from RNAcentral. Lineage: Eukaryota; Metazoa; Chordata; Mammalia; Perissodactyla; Equidae.
AGGGAGGCGAGGAUGCGCUCUGUGCUCCAACAAGGGCACGCCCAGGUCCUCCUCCAAUGGACCUCAGGCGGCCAGAUCUGUGCUGGAGGCUGUCCUCGCCCGGCCAGCCGGUGCUCCCUGGCUCCCGGGCCCUGUGCUCUGAGGCCAGGGCUCUAAUGGCGGUAGACGCCUCACGGCUCUCACUGGGACUCAGAUUCCUCCCGCGCUCAAAGGUCUGGCUCUGAGUCCCAGUCGCCACCCGCUCACGAAGUGAUCUUGGACGAUCCAUCUUCCCUCUCCGGGCCUCAGUUUCCCCACGUCUAAAGUGAGCGAGGCUGCCGGGGCGUGGCCAGUCCUCCCAGUGCCACCCCGGCCUUGGCUCACAUUGCAGAAUUCUGGGAGGAACCGUUUUGAGUUUGCGACCUGGAGAAGAGAAACUGAGACCCUACGGAUGGGAAGACCGAGGCCAGAGGACGGGGACUGGCCAGGAGCCCGGAGGUGUGAACGUCCAAUGGUCCUCUCUUUGGUCCUCCACCAGCCCCCAGGCCCCUCAGCCAUGCCUCUCCUGGCCGCUCUCCUUCCUGGGACGCCUCGCCUAGAGCAGCGAAUGGGGCCACGACACACUCGGCCACGACCUCCCCUCCACCAGAGCCCCAGGCUCGGCGCCCGUGUGCCCUGCCUCCCGCAUCCUCACAGGCAGCGAUUCUCCCUGUGGUUUGCCGUUUUAUUGCGUGGACCCAUAUUCCAAAGACUUGGCCAUCAGUUUCCACACAGUGUGUCACCCAGCGGCUGAGCCAAUGCCACAUACUUUAGUCUUUUGGUGACACUGCCUUCAACUGACCAACUUCUGUCUCAGUAAGGGAAGGCAAGCCACUGUAGCA